UUGACCUCAAAUCAGGUGGGACUACCCGCUGAACUUAAGCAUAUCAAUAAGCGGAGGAAAAGAAACUAACAAGGAUUCCCUUAGUAACUGCGAGUGAAGUGGGAAGAGCUCAAAUUUGAAAUCUGGCAGUCUCUGGCUGUCCGAGUUGUAAUCUAGAGAAGUGUUGCCCGCGCUGGACCGUGUACAAGUCUCCUGGGAUGGAGCGUCAUAGAGGGUGAGAAUCCCGUCUCUGACAUGGACUACCAGGGCUUUUGUGGUGCGCUCUCAAAGAGUCGAGUUGUUUGGGAAUGCAGCUCAGAAUGGGUGGUAAAUUCCAUCUAAAGCUAAAUAUUGGCGAGAGACCGAUAGUGAACAAGUACCGUGAGGGAAAGAUGAAAAGAACUUUGGAAAGAGAGUUAAACAGUACGUGAAAUUGCUGAAAGGGAAACGNUUGAAGUCAGUCGCGUU
This 447-nucleotide ribosomal RNA is filed under the name Leucocoprinus gongylophorus. RNAcentral describes it as "eukaryotic LSU rRNA". It matches the Rfam family "Eukaryotic large subunit ribosomal RNA", at positions 1 to 439 of the family's 3401-position model. The record is from RNAcentral. Lineage: Eukaryota; Fungi; Basidiomycota; Agaricomycetes; Agaricales; Agaricaceae.